GACGAAGUCUGACGGAGCACGCCGCGUGAGUGAAGAAGGUUUUCGGAUCUGUAAAACUCUGUUGUCAGGGAAGAACAAGUAUGAGAGUAACUGCUCGUACCUUGACGGUACCUGGCCAGAAAGCCACGGCUAACUACGUGCCAGCAGCCGCGGUAAUACGUAGGUGGCAAGCGUUGUCCGGAAUUAUUGGGCGUAAAGCGCGCGCAGGCGGCCUUUUAAGUCUGAUGUGAAAGCCCCCGGCUCAACCGGGGAGGGUCAUUGGAAACUGGAAGGCUUGAGUGCAGAAGAGAAGAGCGGAAUUCCACGUGUAGCGGUGAAAUGCGUAGAGAUGUGGAGGAACACCAGUGGCGAAGGCGGCUCUUUGGUCUGUAACUGACGCUGAGGCGCGAAAGCGUGGGGAGCAAACAGGAUUAGAUACCCUGGUAGUCCACGCCGUAAACGAUGAGUGCUAAGUGUUGGGGGGUUUCCGCCCCUCGGUGCUGCAGCUAACGCAUUAAGCACUCCGCCUGGGGAGUACGGCCGCAAGGCUGAAACUCAAAUGAAUUGACGG
RNAcentral lists this ribosomal RNA (550 nucleotides) under Domibacillus tundrae. RNAcentral's name for it is "bacterial SSU rRNA". It matches the Rfam family "Bacterial small subunit ribosomal RNA", at positions 374 to 916 of the family's 1533-position model. Lineage: Bacteria; Bacillati; Bacillota; Bacilli; Caryophanales; Bacillaceae. The record is from RNAcentral.